CCUUUGCUGGUUUCUUUCCAGUGCAACGGCUGGACGUGGUAUCUUGCCAAUGACUUUCAGUUCCAUCUCAUGACCCCGGUGAUCCUCUUCAUCCACGGAAAAAAUCAACACGCCCUUGUCCUCCACGGGGCCACGCUGUUCUUGGCAUCUUUCACCGCCUCUGCUCUGCUCACACUGGCUUAUAACCUUCCGGUGGCAGCUCCGUCAGAAGCAAGGUGCAGGCUCUGCUACGGUGGAUUUGCUCUCUGUCGACCCUGUCCCCAGUGGCUGCCCUGGCAUACAUGGUGGGUGACGCGUCCGCCGCCUCUUCAGUUGCCGC
Non-coding RNA from Delphinapterus leucas (beluga whale), 319 nucleotides. The record is from RefSeq and is a predicted model, not a curated record. NCBI's taxonomy places the organism in Eukaryota, Metazoa, Chordata, Mammalia, Artiodactyla, Monodontidae.